Molecule: long non-coding RNA, 254 nt
Organism: Peromyscus californicus insignis
Lineage: Eukaryota; Metazoa; Chordata; Mammalia; Rodentia; Cricetidae
Exons: 2
Source: RefSeq, a predicted model, not a curated record
CAGCUUUCCGGUGUAGAGGGUGACGCUGCUAAAACGAGAGGGAAACCAAAGGGCACGGGGCACCUUUACUGCGAGACAAAAAUCAGGGCCAAUUAUACAGAAGAGGGAUGGCAGACUUGAAGACCUGCAUUCCACCUUCAGAUCCCACAAGGUGGCAGAAGAGAACCAACUCCAGACAGACCUCCAUCUACGCACCAGCAUGUGUGUGCACUUAUACAUGUACAAACACAAUAAAUAAAAAUUCAAAACCUUUA